This 253-nucleotide ribosomal RNA is filed under the name uncultured bacterium. RNAcentral describes it as "partial 16S ribosomal RNA". It matches the Rfam family "Bacterial small subunit ribosomal RNA", at positions 524 to 776 of the family's 1533-position model. The record is from RNAcentral.
AACGUAGGGCGCAAGCGUUAUCCGGAGUUACUGGGCGUAAAGCGCGGGCAGGCGGUCUUGCCAGUCUGAUGUGAAAUCUCCUCGCUCAACGGGGAGCAGCCAUUGGAAACUACAAGACUGGAGUCUGGUAGAGGUAGGCGGAAUUCCGGGUGGAGUGGUGAAAUGCGUAGAGAUCCGGAGGAACACCAGAGGCGAAGGCGGCCUACUGGGCCAGUACUGACGCUGAGGCGCGAAAGCCAGGGGAGCGAACGGG